This 239-nucleotide ribosomal RNA is filed under the name uncultured bacterium. RNAcentral describes it as "partial 16S ribosomal RNA". It matches the Rfam family "Bacterial small subunit ribosomal RNA", at positions 15 to 253 of the family's 1533-position model. The record is from RNAcentral.
GAUCAUGGCUCAGGACGAACGCUGGCGGCGUGCCUAACACAUGCAAGUCGAACGGAAGCAACGAUUUCGGUUUUUGCUUCAGUGGCGAACGGGUGAGUAACGCGUGAGGAACCUGCCUUUCAGUGGGGGACAACAGUUGGAAACGACUGCUAAUACCGCAUAAUGCUUUUUGAUGGCAUCAUUGAAAAGCCAAAGAUUUAUUGCUGAAAGAUGGCCUCGCGUCUGAUUAGCUAGUUGGG